ACUCAAGUGGACGGGUGGGGAGCCUGCGGCUGGCCACCUCCGCACCCUCGGAGCGCUCCAGGGGGCCCCAACCCAAGCCCUGCACCUACUCUUGAAGGCGACGGCCGCGUUGUUGACCAGUACGUUGAGCCCCCCGUACUCCUUGCGCAGGAAGUCGCGCAGGGCGCGGAUGCUCUGCAAGUCGUCGAUGUCCAGUUGGUGGAAGCGCGGGCUCAGGCCCUCCGCCUGCAGCUGCUGCACGGCCGCCUGGCCCCGCGCCACGUCCCGCGCGGAAAACUAGACAAUCCACCAGCCCAGGAGGGGACAAGCAGGCUUAUUCCUCCUCCUCGUCAUCUCUGGCUCCAGCCCCACCCUGGCCCUUGCUGGCAUUCUUCCUCUUCACGUGGCUGGGGUUGGCCACCCCAAUAGGGAAGCAGAGGGAGAAGUCAAUGUGCUUCUGGGAAUCCAGGCGGACAGUGAAGAACAGGAUAUUUACCACCUGCUCACGGACACGGAUAUGACACUGUUGAAUCAGCACAUGAGCGUGGCGGAUGGACUUAGCCAAGCCAAGCUUGAAGACCUGGGUCUGUAGGAAUCUCUAAGAAAUCAUUGAUCUUCAGGCCCAGGAUGUAAUCCAGCUUCAUCUUGCCCUCAUCCAGCACCCCAGUGCGGACCAGCCACUGCAGCAGGGCAAUGCCUUCGAACAGACGCCGUGGGUCCUUCUCAUCAAGCGUCAGCAGCUCCCGGGCGGCCUUAUGGAUCUUGACCAGGGUAAAUUUGACCCUCCAGACCUCACAUUUGUUCUGGAGCCCAUACUCACCAAUCAGCUUUAGCUUUUGGUCGAGAUGAGGUUUCUCGAAGGGUCUCUGCAGGGUCACAUAAGUUUGGCAACAAACCCAGCUCUGGGCCGCUGGCAUGUUGGCUCCACUUGCCCGUCUAUGCCUAAGCACAGGCCCUGGUCACUGAGAAAGAGCUCAAAUUUUUUAUAUAUUUCAUCUAAGGUGUUGAUUCUAUUGAUACCCUUAUCCUUUUAACAUGCCCUUAUCCUUUUAAUGUUGGUAAUGAUGCUACCUGUCAUUUCUGAGACUGGUUUGUGUCUUUCGUGUUUUUUUCUGAUCUGUCUGGCUAGAGGUUUACCAAUUGAUUUGAUUUUCCUCAAACUUCUGGUUACAAUGAUUCUCUCUCUCUCUCUUUUCCUGAUUAUAUUAAUUUCUGUUCUGAUCUUUGUUUCCUUUCUUCUGCUUACUGGAUUUUAUUUGCUCUUUUUCUGGUUUCUUACUGUAAAGGCAGAAGUCAUUGAUUUGCAUUGAUUUGAGACUUCUUUUCUAAUGUAGGCAGUAAGUGGUGUAAAUUCCCUUUUAGUAUGACUUUAGUGGCAUCUCACAUUGAUAUGUUUUCAAUUUCAUUCAGUUUAUUUUUAUUUAUUUUUUAAAUUAUUUAUUUAUUUAUUUAUUUUGAGUUGUGUAGCCCUUUAUUAGCAACUAAAAUAGAAGGUAUCUGUUGUACAACAUGGGUAGUAAUUGACUAUAACUGGAGAUUUAUUAUAUUCUAAUACAGAUCAUUUAUAAAUGCAAUUUCUUUAUUAAAAAGCUUCCACCUUUUUGUUUGUUUGUGUACAAUUUGCAAAACUAUUCUGAAAGCGGAAUAUAUGUGCACAAGUCUGCAAAGAGUGCAAAUUUAGGAUAUGGUAAAUGCUUUACAAGUUACUUUCAAAAAACUGUCUGCCAUAACUGAGCCUUUACAUUGUCAUCUUUUUUGAUCAAAAUAUUUUGAUGCCAGCCUUCCUUCCACUGCCCUAAACUAUAAAGCAUUUUUUAAUGAGUUGAAAUUAAGGAAGGACUACACCUACUAGAAAAAAAGAGAAGAAAGUUCUAUUAGUUUGAGGUUUCAGAAUCCCCCCAAACCAGGACCAGUAUCGUGGUAAAGGCUAGGCUGGGAGCCCGGACAGAGUAUGAGAAUGUGCAGGUGGCAUCCCUGAGGAUUCAGAGCUUCAGUGGACCGUGAGUGCUCCAGCUGCAUAACUCACUGAACUGUCUUGCCAGUUUCUACACUGGCUCGACUGGGCAUAAUUCAAAAACGAAAAACUCAUAUUCAUUCCAUUCUUCUGGAGCUCUGUGAUAGCAUUUAAUAACACCCCAAUGGGAUGUCUUCCACAUAUAGUAUUAUGGUAUUUCUUCAAGUAAUUGCUAAAAGAUACAGGGUCUAAUUGUUCUAUAAUACUCAUACCCAUUUUAUCUAGAUGUUCAAUGGAUCUACAAAUCUCCCCCUGGGAUUCAUCAUAGUAACUGUGACGGAACCUUUGACCCCAAUGGCAGAAAUCAGAAGAAACCACAAAGAGAUUACUAGGAUCCGCUAGAUAUUUACUGAAAAGUUCCGAAUUCCUGUUCUUUUGACUCAGAGCUCCAACCAGUAAAGGAAUAAUGGUAAACUCAUCCUUAUGGCUUUCCAUGGCUUUAGCUGUAUAAGGCAAAUGCAUUUCAAUACUGCGUUCAUCUUCAUCUGUCUGCAGAGACAUGCGUUCAAACAUUCCUGUCUUCCAUAGUUCUCCGUAAAUCUUUUGGUCAAUACGAAGGUCAUACAGGGGUGUCCUAUAUAUAUCCACACUGGAAAGUGCACAUCGAGAGAGGGGCACAUGAUGAGAAGGCCCAAGGAUGAAAAUUCUCCGGGUAAUAGACGGAUCCACUUGUUUAUAAGCAUGGGCAGCACAAGACCCACAGUACGUAUAUCCUGCAUGGGGGGCAAUAAUGGCUCUAGCAGGUCUUUUUGUAGACUGUACUUGUGAAAGCCAACCUUCUAGCUGUGCAUUCAGCUGCGGUCCUGAGGCUGUGUACCAGCUCCCGGCGUGACUGGCUUCUCGGCAGACCACUCGGUUGGACAUCUUGGUGCCUGUGCCGCCUAUGGUGCACGAGGAUGAAUGAGGAGGCGGCGGCGGCGGCGGCGGCAGCGGGGAGGGGAUCAGCCCGGCCCAGGAGGAGGAGGAAGAGGAGGAGGCGGCGGCCCAGGAGGAGGAGAUGGCAGCCGGGGGGGUGGCGGCGGCAGCAACAAUCACCACAAACUCCGGCGACCGCCGGAAGAUGGGGCCCACGGCGGCCUCACCUAAGCCCGGAAAGCCCUGGCCCCGGCCCCCGGCGUCCCCGCUGCUGCCCAGCCGGGGCUGGUUCAGCCGAGCCGCCCCCACGGCCCCCUCCCCUCCCAGCUGGCCUCCCCGAGCCACCGCGAGUGACCCCACCCCCGUGACUCCGCGCCCGCCCCCGCCGCGGGGCUCCCCGCACCCACCCCCACCCCCACCCCUGGCAGGGCCCUCCAGCCCGGCCGCCUAUUUUUAUUUUUAUUCUUAUUUAUUUAUUUUUUGAGACAGAGUCUUGCUCUAUCACUGAGGCUGGAAUGUAGUGGUGCCAUCUCAGUUCACUGCAGCCUCCACCUCCUGGAUUUAAGCGAUUCUUGUGCCUCAGCCUCCUGAGUAACUGGGAUGCACCCGCCACCAAGCCCAGCUAAUUUUUGUAUUUUUAGUAGAGAUGGGGUUUCACCAUGUUGACCAGGCUGGUCUCGAAGUCCUGACCUCAAGCACUCUGCCUGCCUUGGCCUUCCAAAAUGCUGGGAUUACAGGCGUGAGCCACUGCCCCUGGCUAGAAGUGUAUUUUUUAAGUUUCCAACUUACUUGGGGAUUUUUCCGGCUAUCUUGCGAUUGAUUUCUAACUUAAAUCCAUUGUGGUCAAUGAACUCACAUUGCACAACUUAACUCCUUUUUAAAGAAUUUCAAAAGCCGAGAGAGAUAUUAAAGCAUGUUUUUAUGUAAUGACAAUAAUCUCAGAGAGAGAACAGUUGAAGAACAGGAAGAAUUGCAAGAACAAAAUGUGUGGGAAGACCAAGCACGGGUGGAUCCAGGAAUCAGGUGGGGGUGUGGAGGGGGAAACAGCACACCUCUUCUCUUGUAACAGAAGGAAAGGCAGAGUGUGUGGGUUUAGACCCAAGCAUGUUGGGGAAACUAAGGCCUUCCUGAGGGCAUCUGUUAUCUCUUUGGAGGGUGAGAGAUUUGAGGUCAUCAUUGAGAGGGAUUAGUUUGGGGAAAUUGAGGACAGUAGCCAUUUUGCAGAUUGGGAAAGUGAUUUUUUUUUCCUGUGGCUCAUACCUGUAAUCCCAGCAUUUUGGGAGGCCAAGGCAGGCAGAUCACUUGAAACCAGGAGUUCAAGACUAUCCUGGCUAACACGGUGAAACCCUAUCUCUACUAAAAAUACGAAAAAAUAACUGGCCGGGCAUGGUGGCGGUCGCCUGUAGUCCCAGCUACUCGGGAGGGCUGAGGCAGGAGAAUGGUGUGAACCUGGGAGGCAGAGCUUGCAGUGAGCUGAGAUCAGGCCACUGCAUUCCAGCCUGGGUGACAGAGACAGAGUGAGACUCUGUCUCAAAAACAAAAAAACAAAACAAAACAAAACAAAAAAAAACCAGGUGUGGUGGCGUCCAUCUGUAGUCUCAGCUACUCAGGAGGCUGAGGCAGGAGAAUUGCUUGAACCCAGGGGGUGGAGGUUGCAGUGAGCCAAGAUCACACCACAGCACUGGAGCCUGGCAAUAGAGUGAGACUUUGUCUCAAAAAAAAAAAAAAGAAAAAGAAAGAAAGAAAGAAAGAAAUGGCUCCGGUUAUUGCCGUCGACAGAAUAAUGCCCCUCCCCCAAGAGGUCUGCAUUAGAAUCUGCAGAGCCUGUGAAUUUGCUUUCCUUCACAAGAGGGACUUUGCAGAAGUGAUUACGGAUCUUGAUGUGGGGAGAUUAGCCUGGGUUACCAAGGUGGGUCCAGUGUAGACCCAAGGGUCUUUAUGAGAGGGAGGCAGAAGGGUCCAAGACGAAGAUGUGGUAGAAGCAGAGGUCAGGAGAGAUUUGGAGAUGGAGGAAGGGCAUGUGCCAAGGAACACAGACAGCCUCCAGAAGUUGACAGGACAGCAGAGGGGUUCCUCCCUCAGGGAUUCUGGAAGGAGCACGGCUCUGAUACCUUGACUUUAGGACUUCUAACCUCCAGAAUGAUAAGAUCAUAAACAUGUGUUAUCUCACGCCCCUCAGUUUGUGGUAAUUUGUUUUAGUGGCCAUAGAAAGGACUGCAGUUACAGGAAGAUUCCUACCUUCUGUCCUGGCUGAGAGGAAACACCUUUCUCUUGUACUUAGUACAGCAUUGCGCAAAUAAUUGGAAUUGUGAGCAGAUUUUUUAAGAAAAAGACUGGGCCGGGCUCAGUGGCUCGUGCCUGUAAUCCCAACAGGCUGAGGAGGGUGGAUCACAAGGUCAAGAGAUUGAGAACAAUCUGGCCAACAUGCUGAAACCUCAUCUCUACUACAAAUACAAAAAUCAGCUGGGUGUGGUGGUGCGUGCCUGUAGUCCCAGCUACUCAGGGAGGCUGAGGCAGAAGAAUUGCUUGAACUCGGGAGGCGGAGGUUGCAGUGAGCCGAGAUUGUGCCACUGCACUCCAGCCUGGCAAAAUACUGGUGGCCAGGCAUGGUGGCUCAUGCCUGUAAUUCUAGCACUUUGGGAGGCUGAGGUAGGUGGGUAGCUUGAGUCCAGCCUGGGCAACAUAGUGAAACCCUGUCUCUACCAAAAAUACAAAAAUUAGCUGGGUGUGGUGGUGUGUGCGGUAGUUCCAGCUGGGAGGAUUGGGUGAGCCCGGGAGGUGGAGGUUGUGGCGAGCCGAGAUGGCGCCAUUGCAUUCCAGCGUGGGCAACAAGAGCAAAACUCUGUCUCAAAAAAAAAAAAAAAAAAAAAGUUGUGGGUUCUGGUGGUUUACUGCUGUGAUUCUGUUUAGAUUGGCUUUGCUAUCACUUAAUGCCAUUGUCCCUUUGUGUUUACCAAAUCACUGGGUAAGAACCCAAACCUUUGCCAGUAACAUGGCAUUCUUCCAGGGUUCUUCUCCUUCCAAAGUCCUUUUGUGGUCUGAAGGACUGAAUGUCCACAGCCGUUCCCUCAUCUGCAUCCAGCGACUGUCUGAGCACCUGUUAGGUACCAGUCAUGCUCAGGAGUGAACAGAGGCCUGGGAAGGGCAGGAGUGGAGCUCCCUGCCUUCAUGGCUCCUUAUUGUAGCUCCUACUUACUCACUGUGUGAUCGUGGGCAAGGUUCCCAAUCUCUCAGUGUCUCAGUUUGCUCAUCUGUACAAUGGGAAUAGUUUUAGUGCCUAGCUCUUACGAUUGCUGUAAGGAGUACAGCAUGAAUGUUUAAUAUUAUAAAAGUGCUUAGAGCAGUACUGACAAACGGUAAUACAUAAAUGUUUGCUGUUCUUACAUUUUUUCAGCAAAGGCAGGCAGACACCAUCUAAAACCAUACAUUCAUGUCUUUACAGCCAUUGAUUGGUGUUCUCCUGGGUAACAGGCACAGUCAUGACUACCAUUAUUUGCUAGAGGCAGAUAAUGUGGGCAGAGGUGGGAGGUGAGGGGAACCUGUCUACAGCUUCGCCUUAAAGAAAGCGCUCUUGACUCCCAUCGCGUUCUAAGAAAGUCUGGGUUGCAGAAGGCAAGCUUGGGCAGGAAUGGGGCCCAUUGUUUUUCUGGAAGCAAGAUUAAGGUCAGGUUCUGAGUCAAAUGAAGAGGUCAGCAAACAGCUUGGUAACUCCCCACCUCCUCUUCUCUAUGCCUAGUUCUUCACUGCCUGCCCUUCCCAGGGGUGGGUCACAAAGUGGCUUAGGGUCAGGACAGUGAGGCUGUUGAGUGCCAUGGGGGGUGUCAGGGAGAAGACAAUUCCUACAAUGCCACCUCAUGUAGCUGAAACCUCGCCUUCCUCUCCUAAGUGUUCUGUGCCUGAGUGCUGGGGUCAGGAUUAUGCAUGGUCCCAACAGGGCUUGACCAGGCAGGACAAGCAGGUGUGUGAUUUGUAUGCUUGAGGUCACCAUGGUGGCUGUCCCUUUGCUACCCUGGAAUUGGUUUCUGGUCUCUAUAUUCAGAGUGACUCAGGGAAAAGCAUACUGCUUAUUGUAAACACUGCUGACUUGGAAGAAGAGAUUCUCCUUGCAAAUGUGGUAGGAACCAGUUUAAGUGUGAUGUCUGGAAGGCUGGGCUCUGUGCCUGAAAGGAAAUCUGCCACACCCUUGCUAAACUGGACAGAGAAGGGGCCAUGGCAGGCUGGUGAAGCACCUGUGCUGGGAAAUGUGGGUCCGAAGGCCCCAGUCCUCUCCUUGGGAGCUGGAUCAGGGUUUAUUUUAAAGCCCAUUCUUACCUCUUAGCUUGGCAAAGUAUUGCCAAGCCUGGGGAAAACCAGCCAUUCAUGUAUAUUUCUGGCGAGUGUAAUGUACCUCCUCUUUGGAGGGCAAUUUGGCUGUUGUCUAUUGAAAUUAAAAAUAUGCGUCUCUUCCUGGAAAGGGAAUUGUUGGGGGAAUUUAUCCUACAGAUACCCUCCCGUGUGUGUAAUGAUAGCCGGACCAGGAUGUUCUUUAAAAGUGGUUCUCAGCCAGUUUGUUACAAAGGUCAUGAAUUAUUCAGCAAGAUGAUAAUGGUUUUAUGUUUUUAAAAAUGAUAAAUUGUAGCCUGUUGAUCAUCGUUAAAAAUAUUUGAAUGCUAUUUGUAUGGCUUUCUCUGUGAACUUCAGUGAUUAUUUUGGACAGUUUGUGUUUGUAGAACUUGCUGCCAGACAGUGCCCCUUGUGGUUGAGUGGCUGCACUACAUGGCAUAUGUAUCAGUUUCCUGCGGUCACCAUAACUAAACACCAAAUACAGGUGCAGAGCUUCAUUCUCUCAUAGUUCUGGAAGCCAGAAGUCCGAGAUCAAAAUGUUGUCAGGACCAUGCUCUCUCUCCAAGCGCUGGGAAAGAAUCCUUCCCUGCCUCUUCCACUUGCUGGUGGUUGCUAGCAAUCUUUGGCAUUCCUUGUCUUGGGGCAGCAUCACACCAAUGUCUGCCUCUGUCUUCAUAUGGCUGCUGUCUCUGCUGAGCAUCUGUGUAUGUCUUCUCCUCUCCUGUUCCUUUUUUUUUUAAUUUUUUUUCCUGAGACAGUCUCACUCUGUCGCCUAGGCUGGAGUGCAGUGGCAUGAUCUUGGCUCACUGCAACCUCCGUCUCCUGUGUUCAAGCGAUUCUCAAGCCUCAGCCUCCCGAGUAGCCAGGAUUACAGGCGCCUGCCACUACACCUAGCUAAUUUGUGUAUUUUUAGUAGAGACACGGUUUCACCAUGUUGGCCAGGCUGGUCUCGAACUCCUGACCUCAAGUGAUCCACCCGCCUCAGCCUCCCAAAGUGCUGGGAUUACAGGCAUAAGCCACCAUGCCUGACCCUUCUCCUCUUCUUAUAAGGACAUUAGUCUUCCAGCAUAAUCUCAUCUUAACUAAUUACAUCUGUAAAGACCCUAUUACCAAAAGGGCACAUUCUGAGAUGGCAGGUGGACAUGAAUUUUGAGGGGACACUGCAGAACUAACCCACUAUAGAAUCUUUCUUUAAUGUUUCUAUUGAUCCCUUUCAACUGGUCUAAUAUAUUAUUUAGCCUGAAUUUUUUUUUUCUUUUUUGAGACAGUGUCUUGCUCUGUUGCCCAGGAUGGAAUGCAGUGGCAUGAUAAUGGCUCACUGCAGCCUUGACCUCCCAGGCUCAAGCGAUCCUUUGUAGCUGAGACUACAGGUCUGUGCCACCAUGCCUGGACAAUUUUUUAUUUUUAUAUAUGUUUUUAAGAGGUGGGGUCUUGCUAUGUUGCCCAAGGUGGUCUUGAACUCCUGGGCUAGAGCAAUCCUCCUACCUUGGCCUCCUAAAGUCCUGGAAUUACAGGCAUGAGCCCUUGCAUCUGGAUAGCCUGACUUGUUUAUCAUAAAUUCUUUUUUGAGAUGGAGUCUUGCUCUGUUGCCCAGGCUGGAGUACAGUGGCACGAUCUCAGCUCACUGCAACCUCUGCUUCCUGAAUUGCAGAAGAAUUCUGCAAUUCUCCUGUCUUAGCCUCCUGAGUAGCUAAGAUUACAAGUGUGCACCACCACACCUGGCUAAUUUUUGUAUAUAUAUAUGUUUUUUAGUAGAGAUGGGAUUUCGCCAUGUUGGCCAGGCUGGUCUCAAACUCCUGAUCUCAGAUGAUCCUCCCACCCCGGCCUCCUAAAGUGCUGGAAUUACAGGCAUGAGCCACCGUGCCCGGCCUAUCAUAAAUUCUUGCCUGCAUGUCUUAGUCCAUUUGUGCUGCUAUAACAAAAUACAUGAGACUGGGUAAUUUAUAAACAAUAGAAAUUUACUUCUUGUGGUUCUGGAGACUAGAAAGUCCAAGGUCAAGGUUCUAGGAAGUCUAGUGAGGGCCUGGUCUGUGCUUCCAAGAUGAUGCCUUGUUGUUUUGCCCUCCAGAGGGGAUGGACGCUUUGUCUUCACAUGGUGGAAGGGCAAAAAGGAGGGAAGCAGCUCCCUUAUAUAUCUUUUAUAAGGUCAUUAAUCCCAUUUGUGAGGACAGAGCCCUCAUGACCCAAUCACCUCCCCAAAAGCUCCACUUUCUAAUACCAUCAUCUUGGUGAUUAGGUUUCAACAUAUAAAUUUUGGGAGGACACAUAAUUCAAACUAUAGAAGCAUAUAUAAAGCUUAGUUUCCUUUUGGUACAGUUUGCUCUUAUAUUUAUUUUUCUACCAUCAUAGGAGUUUGCUAUGGUUUGAAUGCUUCUCCCCUCUGAAACUCAUGAUGAAACUUAAUCCCAAAUGUAACAAUAUUGACAGGUGGAGCCUGUACGAGGUGAUUGGGUCAUUAGUGCUCUGUCCUCACCAAAGGAUUAAUAUAUCAUGGAUUAAUGGGUUAAUGGAUUAAUGGGUUAUCAUGGGAAUGGGUUAGUUAUUUUAAAACUGAGUCUGUUAUAAAAGCCACUUGGCAUUCUCUUGUGUACUCCUUGCCAUGUGACCCUGUACCACCUUGGAACUCUGCAGAGAGUCCCCACUAGCAAGAAGGCCCUCACCAGAUGCAGCUCCUUGACCUUGAACUUCCAGCCUCCAGACCGUAAGAAAUGAAUGUAUUUUCUUUACAAUUUACCCAGUCUCAGGCAUUCAGUUAUAGCAACAGAAAAGGGACUAAGAUAGCCAUCUUUAUUGUUUUUGUUAUCUGGUAUUGCGUGUCUCUAAAGAGAAUAUAACUGGAUUGUUAACUAUUUCCUACCCUCCUUUGUUAGUGGCUUCAUAUUUUUUUAUUAUUUAUUUAUUUAUUUAUUUAUUUAUUUAUUUAUUUAUUUUUUUGAGACAGGCUCCCUCUGUUGGCCAGGCUGGAAUGCAGUGGCGUGAUCUCGGCUCACUGCAGCUUCAACCUCUUGGGUUCAAGCUUCCUGAGCAGUUGGGACUACAGGUGUGCACCACCAAGCCUGGCUAAAUUUUUGGUAGACAUGGGUUCUCACUGUGUUGCUCAGGCUGGUCUCAAAUUCCUGGGCUCAAACGAUCCUACCCACUACAGCCUCCCAAAGUGCUGAGAUUAUAGGCAUGAGCCACUGUGCCCAGACUUUUAGUGGGUUUUUAAAAAUAGAAAGCUAAUAUUCAUGGAACUCUUGCUCAGAGUCAGGUGCUGGUCUCCACACUUUACACUGACCUAUAUGUUCCACUCUAACAAGAGACUCACCCCAUAUCAUGAGCCAAGCAUGGGGGGAGGACCUUCUUGAAAGCAGACACUAAAAUGUCUUGGUAGCCACACUGAUUUUCUUUUCCCUUCAUAGCUGUCCUGUUGCUUUUAGUUCUGUAUCACCGCCUUCAGUGUGCCCAGCUGUCCACACCCCGCUAUCCAGGUUCAAGAGAAGAUCCCGUUGCACUCAUUUUCCAGGGCCAUUACACUUUUUGGGAAAUAAUUUUUGUGCUGUUGUCAAACAACAGUUAUCCUCUGUUAUUUAGCAACCCUUGUUCCUUGAACAUUUUCUUCUUUAAAAAAUAGUUUUAUUGAGAUGUAAUGUGAAUUAAAUCCCAUUUAAAGUAUACAAUUCAAUGAUUGAUAGUAUGUUCACAGAAUUAUACAACCAUUACCACUAUUUUGGGACAUUUUCAUCACCCCUAAAACAAACCCCAUAGCCAUUAGCAGUCAUUCCCCAUUUCCUUCCAUGCCUUCAUCCCUAGGCAGCCACUAACCUGUUUUCCAUUUAUAUAGACUUACCAAUUCUAGACAUUUCAGAUAAAUGAAACAGUAAGAUGUGGCCCUUUGUGACUGACUUUCACGUAGUGGGUUUUUUUUUUUUUUUUCUUUUUUGAGACAAGGUCUCGCUCUGUUGCUCAGGCUGGAGCCCAGUGGUGCAAUCAUAGCUCACUGCAGUCUUGACCUCCCUGGGCUCAAGUGAUCCUCCUACCUCAGUCUUCUGUGUACGUGGGACUACAGGGGUGCACCACCAUGCCCUGCUCAUUUUUUGUAUUUUUUUGUAGACACAAGGUUGCACCAUGUUAGCCAGGCUGGUUUCAAACUCCUGGGCUCCAGUGAUCUGCCCACCUCAGCCUCCCAAAGUCCUGGGAUUACAGACAUGAGCGACCACAACCAGCCUCUCUUAGUAUGUUUCAAGGUUCAUCUGUGUUGUAGAUCUUACUGGCUUUUAAAGUUAACAUUUAGUAAGUUUGAUUCUUGAUAGGAUUUAUAAUUAAUUUUUAAUCAUAGAAAUAUUCUUAAAAAUAUUAAUUGAACAUAAAGUUGAUACAAUAAAGGUGUAGACUUUGUGGCUUCAGGAAUCAGUUUUUUUCACAAUUGACUCUACAUGAAUAUAAUAUUUUGUUGCUUUUUCAGAAUUUUAAGUAAAACUAAUAUUUCCAUAUUGUAUUUCGCUCAUCUAUGCUUAAUCUAAAAAGGUUGAGUUGGUUUAAAGCAUUCCUAAGAAGUGGCUGAUGUAAGAUGGAUUAAUUGAUUCAGGGUCUCACCCUGUCACCCAGGCUGGAGUGCAGUGGCAUGAUCAUGGCUCACUGUGGCCUCAACCUCCUGUCUCUCUCCAAGUUGCUGGGACUACAGGCAUGCACCACAAUACUCGGCUAGUGUUUUGUAUUUUUUGUAGAGAUGGGGUUUCGCCAUGUUACCCAGGCUGGUCUCGAUCUCCUGACCUCAAGUGAUCUGCUAACCUCAGCCUCCCAAAACGCUGGGAUUACAGGCAUGAGCCACUGUGCCUGGCCAAGAUUUAUUUUUUGAAAUAUCAAAUUUCAAAAGUUUGAAAAAAAACUGUGGAAACUCUUUAGUCCCUUAAAUUCUUUAUAUCUAAAUAUAACAUUAUUAUUAUUAUUUUUAGACGGAGUCUCAUUCUGUCGCCCAGGCUGGAGUGAAGUGGUGUCAUCUCCACUCACUGCAACCUCCCCCUCCUGGAUUCAAGCAAUUCUUCCGCCUCAGCUUCCCAAGUAGCUGGGACUACAGGCACCUGCCACCACGCCUGGCUAAUUUUUGUAUUUUUAGUAGAGAUGGGGUUUCCCAUGUUGGCCAGGUUGGUCUCGAACCCCUGACCUCAGGUGAUCUGCCCACAUCAGCCUCCCAAAGUGCUGGGAUUACAGGCAUGAGCCACUGUGCCCAACUAAAUAUAACUUUUAAAGUUAAGUCUGUAUGUUAGUAACUUAUUGCUACAUAACAAGUUACUUCAAACUUUGUUGGCUUAAAACAUUUAUUUUCUCAGUUUCUGUAGAUCAGGAAUGAGAGUAGCUUGGCUGGGUAGUUCCGCCUCGGGGCCUCUCGUGAGCCAUCUUGCUGUCAGCUGGGGCUGCGGUCAUCUGGGGACAGAAAGCUGGUGGCUGGAGGCCUCAGCUCUUAGCCAAGAGGGCCUCUCCUUGGGUGGCCUCAAGACACUGCAGCUGGCUUCCUCCAGAGUGAGUGAACCAAGAGAGGGGGAAGAUGAAAGCCAAACUGUCUUUUAUGACCUAGUUUCUUCUACCAUUCCUUCCCCAUGUCUGCUGGUCACACAGAGCAAGUCUGAUCCAGUGUGGGAAGGGCCUACACAGGGUCUGAAGAACAGAAGGCAGGGAUCAUGGGAUGGUCUUGGAGGCCGGCCACCACAAGCUGGGCAGUCAUCUGACUCCCUAGACUGGCAGUCAAAAAAUCACUUACAUUGCCCAGUAGGUAAUACAGUAAAGAUUAGGGAGGCGGAGCGUGGUGGCUCACACCUGUAAUCCCAGCACUUUGUGAGGCUGAGGCGGGAGGAUGACUUGAGGCCAGGAGUCUGAGACCAUCCUGGGCAUCACAGUGAGACUCCAUCUUCACAAAAAAUUUUAAAAAUUAGCCAUCUCCACAAAACAUUAAAAAAAUUAGCCAGGUGUGGUGGUGUGCACCUGUAGUCCUACCUACUUAGGAGGCUGAAGCAGGAGAAUCCCUUGAGCCCAGGAGCUUGAGGCUGCAAGUGACCUAUCAUCACACUACUGCAUUCUAGCCUGGGUGACAGAGUGAGACUAUGUCUCUAAAAAAUUUUUUUAAAAUUAAUAUUGCCAAGCACAGUGGCUCAUGUCUGUAAUCCCAACA
Molecule: long non-coding RNA, 13316 nt
Filed under: Homo sapiens (human)
Lineage: Eukaryota; Metazoa; Chordata; Mammalia; Primates; Hominidae
Description: non-protein coding CBR3-AS1:47
Source: RNAcentral